RNAcentral lists this ribosomal RNA (256 nucleotides) under uncultured bacterium. RNAcentral describes it as "partial 16S ribosomal RNA". It matches the Rfam family "Bacterial small subunit ribosomal RNA", at positions 521 to 776 of the family's 1533-position model. The record is from RNAcentral.
UAAUACGAAGGGUGCAAGCGUUACUCGGAAUUACUGGGCGUAAAGCGUGCGUAGGUGGUUUGUUAAGUCUGAUGUGAAAGCCCUGGGCUCAACCUGGGAAUGGCAUUGGAUACUGGCAGGCUAGAGUGCGGUAGAGGGUAGUGGAAUUCCCGGUGUAGCAGUGAAAUGCGUAGAGAUCGGGAGGAACAUCUGUGGCGAAGGCGACUACCUGGACCAGCACUGACACUGAGGCACGAAAGCGUGGGGAGCAAACAGG